This 1530-nucleotide ribosomal RNA is filed under the name Pectobacterium versatile. RNAcentral's name for it is "bacterial SSU rRNA". It matches the Rfam family "Bacterial small subunit ribosomal RNA". The record is from RNAcentral. Lineage: Bacteria; Pseudomonadati; Pseudomonadota; Gammaproteobacteria; Enterobacterales; Pectobacteriaceae.
AGAGUUUGAUCAUGGCUCAGAUUGAACGCUGGCGGCAGGCCUAACACAUGCAAGUCGAGCGGUAGCACAGGAGAGCUUGCUCUUUGGGUGACGAGCGGCGGACGGGUGAGUAAUGUCUGGGAAACUGCCUGAUGGAGGGGGAUAACUACUGGAAACGGUAGCUAAUACCGCAUAACCUCGCAAGAGCAAAGAGGGGGACCUUAGGGCCUCUCGCCAUCAGAUGUGCCCAGAUGGGAUUAGCUAGUAGGUGAGGUAAUGGCUCACCUAGGCGACGAUCCCUAGCUGGUCUGAGAGGAUGACCAGCCACACUGGAACUGAGACACGGUCCAGACUCCUACGGGAGGCAGCAGUGGGGAAUAUUGCACAAUGGGCGCAAGCCUGAUGCAGCCAUGCCGCGUGUGUGAAGAAGGCCUUCGGGUUGUAAAGCACUUUCAGCGAGGAGGAAGGCGGUAAGGUUAAUAACCUUAUCGAUUGACGUUACUCGCAGAAGAAGCACCGGCUAACUCCGUGCCAGCAGCCGCGGUAAUACGGAGGGUGCAAGCGUUAAUCGGAAUGACUGGGCGUAAAGCGCACGCAGGCGGUCUGUUAAGUUGGAUGUGAAAUCCCCGGGCUUAACCUGGGAACUGCAUUCAAAACUGACAGGCUAGAGUCUUGUAGAGGGGGGUAGAAUUCCAGGUGUAGCGGUGAAAUGCGUAGAGAUCUGGAGGAAUACCGGUGGCGAAGGCGGCCCCCUGGACAAAGACUGACGCUCAGGUGCGAAAGCGUGGGGAGCAAACAGGAUUAGAUACCCUGGUAGUCCACGCUGUAAACGAUGUCGAUUUGGAGGUUGUGCCCUUGAGGCGUGGCUUCCGGAGCUAACGCGUUAAAUCGACCGCCUGGGGAGUACGGCCGCAAGGUUAAAACUCAAAUGAAUUGACGGGGGCCCGCACAAGCGGUGGAGCAUGUGGUUUAAUUCGAUGCAACGCGAAGAACCUUACCUACUCUUGACAUCCAGAGAAUUAGCUAGAGAUAGCUGAGUGCCUUCGGGAACUCUGAGACAGGUGCUGCAUGGCUGUCGUCAGCUCGUGUUGUGAAAUGUUGGGUUAAGUCCCGCAACGAGCGCAACCCUUAUCCUUUGUUGCCAGCGAUUCGGUCGGGAACUCAAAGGAGACUGCCGGUGAUAAACCGGAGGAAGGUGGGGAUGACGUCAAGUCAUCAUGGCCCUUACGAGUAGGGCUACACACGUGCUACAAUGGCGUAUACAAAGAGAAGCGACCUCGCGAGAGCAAGCGGACCUCAUAAAGUACGUCGUAGUCCGGAUUGGAGUCUGCAACUCGACUCCAUGAAGUCGGAAUCGCUAGUAAUCGUAGAUCAGAAUGCUACGGUGAAUACGUUCCCGGGCCUUGUACACACCGCCCGUCACACCAUGGGAGUGGGUUGCAAAAGAAGUAGGUAGCUUAACCUUCGGGAGGGCGCUUACCACUUUGUGAUUCAUGACUGGGGUGAAGUCGUAACAAGGUAACCGUAGGGGAACCUGCGGUUGGAUCACCU